This 269-nucleotide ribosomal RNA is filed under the name uncultured Leptolinea sp. RNAcentral describes it as "partial 16S ribosomal RNA". It matches the Rfam family "Bacterial small subunit ribosomal RNA", at positions 1100 to 1382 of the family's 1533-position model. The record is from RNAcentral. Lineage: Bacteria; Bacillati; Chloroflexota; Anaerolineae; Anaerolineales; Anaerolineaceae.
AACCCUCGCUGUGUGUUAUAUGUGUCACACGGGACUGCCGGUCGUUAAGCCGGAGGAAGGUGGGGAUGAUGUCAAGUCAGCAUGGCCUUUAUAUCCUGGGCUACACACACGCUACAAUGGCCAACACAAUAGGUUGCUAAGCCGCGAGGUGGCGCCAAUCCAUAAAGUUGGUCUCAGUUCAGAUUGUAGGCUGCAACCCGCCUGCAUGAAGAUGGAGUUGCUAGUAACCGCAGGUCAGCUAUACUGCGGUGAAUACGUUCCCGGGGCUU